Non-coding RNA from Macaca mulatta (Rhesus monkey), 1350 nucleotides. The record is from RefSeq and is a predicted model, not a curated record. NCBI's taxonomy places the organism in Eukaryota, Metazoa, Chordata, Mammalia, Primates, Cercopithecidae.
UACUCGUGAACAUUUUACUCAACAUUUAAAAAUCUUUAAGACCUUUCAGUACAUAAAUCUUACAUAACAAUCUAGCAAAAGUGUAUAAAAUCUAAACACAUUUCUAAAAGAAAGGGUGAGGCUUUCAGGGUGGCUAUACUGUGUUGAACGUGGGCAGUGUUCUCUCUCUCUUGUGGUUUUGCUUAUAUGGCAGUUCCAGCUCACAAGAGCCCUCGGAGCCUGUCUGUUGGCCUGCAUCCUGUGGCAUUUGGCGAGUGAGAUCUGUUUAAUAUAAGGUGUCCAUAAAGCCAAGGUUAUGAUAUCUAAAAAUAAUCAACACUAAUUCCCCAGAAAUUUUGUCUUUUUUGACCAAGCCACUGGUGCAAUGUGGAGUCACUGCAUUAUAUGCAAAAAGAAUAAUGCCCUCACUCCAGAGUCUGAACCAGAACUGACCCUCAGUGGUGACUCCCCCUUUAUUCUAGGAGGUGUUAACAUUAGCUAUGGCAACGUAAAAACGGUGUUUCUGGAGGCAGUGGGGGCCGAGAAUGGAAAGUCCUCUGCAGCCGUCAACAUGGAGAGUGAGGCAAUGCAGGUGUUGACUCACGGAACUGGACGAGAAUCUACUACUCCUUCUCUACUGUUCUCUUCCUACAAACUGAACGAAAAUGAAAAGGAAGUCAUUUCUGCAUGUGUCACAGAGGCAUCCUUUGGUUCUAAAGGGAGCUGAGUUGGAUUCCACAAGUGUAUGGUCCUUGUAGCAUGUGAAUAGGAGUCAGUCACAGACAAGAAGGAAGGGUUCGGGGGAGACUGUCACCGCCCUGUCCAGGCUACCCCUCCAGCUGCCCAGGUGACAGGCUGGCCUGUGUUUGUGUUGUGUAAGUGUGUACAGCUGCUAAUGUAGGGUCCAGAAACAUCUUACAAAGUAAGCCUAUCCCUACAUGUAGUUUUAUGUGGGUAUGAAUUCAUUUCAGUUCUUAACAUGAACAUUUGUACAGUGCUUCCAAGUGAGGGUUUGACUGCCUCACAUCUGGAAUCCUUCAAGUUUAUCCUUCUUGGAGUCAGUGUCAUGAACGUUUUCCCCUAGGUCAAGAGUCUGCUGUCAACAUGAUGUUCUCUAAUUACACGGCUUCAUACAACUCUCAGCUUUGUGGACAUAUAUUUUUGUAUUUAAGGUGUUCCUUCUUUUACUUCUGUUUAUAGUUCAUCCUUGACACUGCUCUUUUCCCACUGCCUUUAUCUCAGGUCCUUCCCAAGCUUUCAUCCUGGCUGACUUCUUUUAAGUAAUGGAAGGAGAGGAUGUGGGGUCAGUCAGCCUGACUUCCGAUCCCUUCUCCACCCAUUACUUGGCAAAUUAAAGCUGUGUUUAGGCUU